RNAcentral lists this ribosomal RNA (497 nucleotides) under uncultured bacterium. RNAcentral's name for it is "partial 16S ribosomal RNA". It matches the Rfam family "Bacterial small subunit ribosomal RNA", at positions 28 to 507 of the family's 1533-position model. The record is from RNAcentral.
GAUGAACGCUGGCGGCGUGCCUAAUACAUGCAAGUCGAGCGAACAGACGAGGAGCUUGCUUCUCUGAUGUUAGCGGCGGACGGGUGAGUAACACGUGGAUAACCUACCUAUAAGACUGGGAUAACUUCGGGAAACCGUAGCUAAUACCGGAUAAUAUUUUGAACCGCAUGGUUCAAUAGUGAAAGACGGUCUUGCUGUCACUUAUAGAUGGAUCCGCGCUGCAUUAGCUAGUUGGUAAGGUAACGGCUUACCAAGGCAACGAUGCAUAGCCGACCUGAGAGGGUGAUCGGCCACACUGGAACUGAGACACGGUCCAGACUCCUACGGGAGGCAGCAGUAGGGAAUCUUCCGCAAUGGGCGAAAGCCUGACGGAGCAACGCCGCGUGAGUGAUGAAGGUCUUCGGAUCGUAAAACUCUGUUAUUAGGGAAGAACAAAUGUGUAAGUAACUAUGCACGUCUUGACGGUACCUAAUCAGAAAGCCACGGCUAACUACGUG